This 425-nucleotide ribosomal RNA is filed under the name uncultured Bacteroidota bacterium. RNAcentral's name for it is "bacterial SSU rRNA". It matches the Rfam family "Bacterial small subunit ribosomal RNA", at positions 355 to 776 of the family's 1533-position model. The record is from RNAcentral. Lineage: Bacteria; Pseudomonadati; Bacteroidota.
UGAGGAAUAUUGGUCAAUGGGCGAAAGCCUGAACCAGCCAUCCCGCGUGCAGGAAGACGGCCCUAUGGGUUGUAAACUGCUUUUCCAGGAGGAGAAACUCUCGUACGUGAUACGGGAUUGACGGUACCCUGGGAAUAAGCAUCGGCUAACUCCGUGCCAGCAGCCGCGGUAAUACGGAGGAUGCGAGCGUUAUCCGGAUUCAUUGGGUUUAAAGGGUGCGUAGGCGGACUAUUAAGUCAGUGGUGAAAUCCUGCAGCUUAACUGCAGAACUGCCAUUGAUACUGAUAGUCUUGAGUUUGGUUAAGGUAGGCGGAAUGUGUAAUGUAGCGGUGAAAUGCUUAGAUAUUACACAGAACACCGAUUGCGUAGGCAGCUUACUGAGCCGACACUGACGCUGAGGCACGAAAGCGUGGGGAUCGAACAGG